AAAAAAAUGGAAAUAGUUGUUCCCAACUGAUUACACAAAUGAAUAUGAAUCAUAGACUGAUCUUUAGAACACAAUUCCUUGAAUAUAAUAAAUUGAUCGACUUAAAUCAGGUUCCAAAAUCAAUUGAAUAUCCUCUAAUCUAAUCUGUUCAUUCUAUAUAACAACUGAUCAACUACCAAAGGAACUGAUUAAAUCGUAAAACUCUAAAUUGAAAUGGUAAUUACAUGGAAACGACAAUUAUGAACUUCUGAGCAAAUUUAAUUAUCUAACACAGGAAAAAUGUUACAGACCGGUAUGGAAUUGGCCAUCAGCGU
Molecule: unclassified non-coding RNA, 314 nt
Filed under: Hevea brasiliensis (rubber tree)
Lineage: Eukaryota; Viridiplantae; Streptophyta; Magnoliopsida; Malpighiales; Euphorbiaceae
Source: RNAcentral